AGAGUUUGAUCAUGGCUCAGGAUGAACGCUGGCGGUAUGCUUUACACAUGCAAGUCGUACGAGAGUUUUUAACUCAAGUGGCGGACGGGUGAGUAACACGUAAGAAUUUGCCUUUAGGAGGGGGAUAACAACUGGAAACGGUUGCUAAUACCCCAUAUGCUUUCGAGUGAAACGGUUUUUCCGCCUAAAGAGAAGCUUGCGGCUGAUUAGCUAGUUGGUAAGGUAAUGGCUUACCAAGGCGACGAUCAGUAUCUGGUUUGAGAGGAUGAUCAGACACACUGGAACUGAGACACGGUCCAGACUCCUACGGGAGGCAGCAGUAAGGAAUAUUGGUCAAUGGGCGGGAGCCUGAACCAGCCACGCCGCGUGCAGGAAGAAGGCCCUAUGGGUUGUAAACUGCUUUUAUACGGGAAGAACGGGCCUCAUGCGUGGGGUUUUGACGGUACCGUAUGAAUAAGCAUCGGCUAACUCCGUGCCAGCAGCCGCGGUAAUACGGAGGAUGCAAGCGUUAUCCGGAUUCAUUGGGUUUAAAGGGUGCGCAGGCGGGCUAAUAAGUCAGGGGUGAAAUUCCACGGCUCAACUGUGGGGCUGCCUUUGAUACUGUUAGUCUUGAGUUUAGUUGAGGUGGGCGGAAUGUAGCAUGUAGCGGUGAAAUGCAUAGAUAUGCUACAGAACACCGAUAGCGAAGGCAGCUCACCAAGUUAUAACUGACGCUCAUGCACGAAAGCGUGGGGAUCAAACAGGAUUAGAUACCCUGGUAGUCCACGCUGUAAACGAUGAUCACUCGUUGUUGGCGAUACACAGUCAGCGGCUAAGCGAAAGUGAUAAGUUAUCCACCUGGGGAGUACGACCGCAAGGUUGAAACUCAAAGGAAUUGACGGGGGCCCGCACAAGCGGAGGAACAUGUGGUUUAAUUCGAUGAUACGCGAGGAACCUUACCUGGGCUCGAACGCAGAAUGACAGGUGCCGAAAGGUAUUUUUCCUUCGGGACAUUCUGCGAGGUGCUGCAUGGUUGUCGUCAGCUCGUGCCGUGAGGUGUUGAGUUAAGUCUCUUAACGAGCGCAACCCCUAUUCUUAGUUGCCAGCGGGUAAUGCCGGGGACUCUAAGGAAACUGCCUACGCAAGUAGUGAGGAAGGUGGGGAUGACGUCAAAUCAGCACGGCCCUUACGUCCAGGGCUACACACGUGCUACAAUGGUUGGUACAGAGGGUUGCUACCUGGUGACAGGAUGCUAAUCUCUAAAACCAAUCUCAGUUCGGAUCGAAGUCUGCAACUCGACUUCGUGAAGCUGGAUUCGCUAGUAAUGGCGCAUCAGCUACGGCGCCGUGAAUACGUUCCCGGGUCUUGUACACACCGCCCGUCACAUCAUGGGAGCCGAUUGCACCCGAAGUCGUCGAUUCAACUAGCAAUAGAGAUAGACGCCCAAGGUACGAUUGGUGACUGGGAUGAAGUCGUAACAAGGUAACGUA
RNAcentral lists this ribosomal RNA (1469 nucleotides) under uncultured bacterium. RNAcentral describes it as "bacterial SSU rRNA". It matches the Rfam family "Bacterial small subunit ribosomal RNA". The record is from RNAcentral.